Molecule: long non-coding RNA, 1596 nt
Organism: Gossypium raimondii (Peruvian cotton)
Lineage: Eukaryota; Viridiplantae; Streptophyta; Magnoliopsida; Malvales; Malvaceae
Exons: 2
Source: RefSeq, a predicted model, not a curated record
UACUUUCCUUUUGAGUUUUCUCUUUUGUAACCUUUUCCUUUUGUUAAUAAAGAGUCUAUAUUCCCUUCCGCUCAUACUCUCAACCCCCCCGAUUGGUAUCAGAGGUGCCGGUGUAACAAGUUUCUGGAGAAAUAAUAUCGUAAUAUUUAUUCCAUAUCAAAUAUGGGAAAUUCGCAGAAUGCUCGGAAGCCCCCGACUAUCAGCUGUAAAUGAAGAUAAAGAAUACUUGGCAAAAACAAUUGACAAGUGUCAAGAAAAUUCAAGUUGUUAUCAAAUCCAAGCCGGUGUUGAUUUAAUGGCUAAAGCUAAAUAUCUUCUUCAAGAAAGAAAUUAUCAAUUCAGAACUGAUGGAAGAAGAAUAUUAGCAUAUCAUUCAUAUCUUAUUGAAGAAAAUGAUGAAGGCAUCAAUCUGCUAAAAAAGAUAGCAGACAUGAAUAUAGAAGAUUUUCCAUCUAACAUUCUGCAACAAAUCAGAAGUACAUGGGAAAAUUAUCAUCAAUAUAUAUCUACCAUUCAUCAUCUUGAGGGAUGAAUUAUGAUGGAAGCAACCGUUAAUCACAUCAAGAUAGAUUGAUGAUGCAAGCAAGAUGGAAGCAACCAUUAAUGCUUGAUAAAAACAUCCAGAUGAAGACAAAAAGUCUUAAUCAAGUCUUAAUCAUCAUUAAAAUAAUGAUGAUGUAAGCAGUGAUAAAAGCGGCCGUGACACAAGCAGUGACAAAAGCGGUCAUAAAUGCAAGCAUGACACAUGUAAUCAACCAUAGCCAUGCAAAAAGAUGGAGACGUGGAAGCAACCACAUCCACAAAGAAGCCGGAUCCUUAUCAGAAAUACUGUUCGGGAUUCAAAAUACAAUUGUAUAGAAUUUUUAGAAUUCCUCUAUAAAUAGGAAGGAAAGCCCAAUUGUAUAGCAUCUUGUAAUUUACCAAAUACUUUCCGUUUGAGUUUUCUCUUUUGUAACAUUUUCCUUUUGUUAAUAAAGAGUCUAUAUUCCCUUCCGCUCAUACUCUCAACCCCCGAUUAUGUACUACUAUAAUGAUUAUUUAGUAAAAAAUUUACCUCAACUAAGGGUGUAUGUAAUUGAGUCGAGUCUAAGCAGAAAGAAGCUUGAGUUUAGAAUCAGUUUUGAAACCCGUUUUGAGUUUCUUUAAUGGCGAUUUAAUUUAAGAUUCAAAAGUAGUAUUUAAAUUGGUUUGGUUAAUGAUGGUUUCUAUCAUUCGGCUUCAGAGUUGGAUCUAAGUAGGAGUAGUUCGAGUUAAGGCUGAGUUUGAUAUUUUGUGAUAAUAAAUAAAAUGAUCUAUUUGAGUGAGUUUGAUUAGGUUUGUUUGUAUAGUGAAUGGGAAAUUCAAUUAUCAUGUUCUACCUUUAAAUCCAAAGCUCAAUUUCGGUAUUGGUUAAAAUAAUAAUUUAUCUUAAAAAUAAAGAAUUUUAAUUAAGUUCUUAAGUUAUUUAAACUGAAUACAUAUAGGCAAUUUUUCACUUUUAAUCAUGUCGUGGAGUAUAAGAACUUCUCAACUAGGUUUAUUACUUCUUUUGCCUCUUGUAUUAAUAUUUUCACUUUAGUCCUACUAAUUUUUAAAUGAAUAAAUUUAUUUUGCUCA